This 467-nucleotide ribosomal RNA is filed under the name uncultured bacterium. Its description in RNAcentral is "partial 16S ribosomal RNA". It matches the Rfam family "Bacterial small subunit ribosomal RNA", at positions 28 to 507 of the family's 1533-position model. The record is from RNAcentral.
GAUGAACGCUGACAGAAUGCUUAACACAUGCAAGUCCACUUGAAUUUGGGUUUUUAACUUAGGUUUGGGUGGCGGACGGGUGAGUAACGCGUAAAGAACUUGCCUCACAGCUAGGGACAACAUUUGGAAACGCAUGCUAAUACCUAAUAUUAUGAUAAUAGGUCAUCCUAUAAUUAUGAAAGCUAUAAGCGCUGUGAGAGAGCUUUGCGUCCCAUUAGCUAGUUGGAGAGGUAACGGCUCACCAAGGCGAUGAUGGGUAGCCGGCCUGAGAGGGUGAUCGGCCACAAGGGGACUGAGACACGGCCCUUACUCCUACGGGAGGCAGCAGUGGGGAAUAUUGGACAAUGGACCGAGAGUCUGAUCCAGCAAUUCUGUGUGCACGAUGAAGUUUUUCGGAAUGUAAAGUGCUUUCAGUUGGGAAGAAACAAAUGACGGUACCAACAGAAGAAGUGACGGCUAAAUACGUG